This 67-nucleotide transfer RNA is filed under the name Rhodospirillales bacterium. RNAcentral's name for it is "tRNA-Glu". It matches the Rfam family "tRNA", at positions 9 to 71 of the family's 71-position model. From Rfam's summary of the family: Transfer RNA (tRNA) molecules are approximately 80 nucleotides in length. Their secondary structure includes four short double-helical elements and three loops (D, anti-codon, and T loops). Lineage: Bacteria; Pseudomonadati; Pseudomonadota; Alphaproteobacteria; Rhodospirillales. The record is from RNAcentral.
CGUCUAGCGGCUAGGACAUCGCCCUCUCACGGCGAAAACAGGGGUUCAAGUCCCCUAGGGGAUACCA